This 497-nucleotide ribosomal RNA is filed under the name uncultured bacterium. RNAcentral describes it as "partial 16S ribosomal RNA". It matches the Rfam family "Bacterial small subunit ribosomal RNA", at positions 28 to 507 of the family's 1533-position model. The record is from RNAcentral.
GAUGAACGCUGGCGGCGUGCCUAAUACAUGCAAGUCGAGCGAACAGACGAGGUGCUUGCUCCUCUGACGUUAGCGGCGGACGGGUGAGUAACACGUGGAUAACCUACCUAUAAGACUGGGAUAACUUCGGGAAACCGGAGCUAAUACCGGAUAAUAUAUUGAACCGCAUGGUUCAAUAGUGAAAGACGGUUUUGCUUUCACUUAUAGAUGGCUCCGCGCCUCAUUAGCUAGUUGGUAAGGUAACGGCUUACCAAGGCAACGAUGCGUACCCGACCUGAGAGGGUGACCGGCCACACUGGAACUGAGACACGGUCAAGACUCCUAGGGGAGGAAGCAGUAGGGAAUCUUCCGCAAUGGGCGAAAGCUGGACGGACAAACGCGGCGGGAGGGAUGAAGGUCUUCGGAUCUUAAACUUCUGUUAUUAGGGAAGAAGAAAUGUGUAAGUAACUAUGCACGUCUUGACGGUACCUAAUCAGAAAGCCACGGCUAACUACGUG